This is a long non-coding RNA of Papio anubis (olive baboon), 2019 nucleotides long. NCBI's taxonomy places the organism in Eukaryota, Metazoa, Chordata, Mammalia, Primates, Cercopithecidae. The record is from Ensembl.
UCCAAUAAGAUCCCGUUUCUAACAGUAGGUGAUGGAGGGCUCCAGGGCUGGGGGCAGCAAAUCUUUUUUUUUUUUUUUUUUUGCCACCAGAUAUUAUGAUGACAGUUGGCCACUUGCUAUGCCUCAGUUUCUUCCUGCAAAAAAGGGGAAAAUAAUAGUCUCUAUCUCACAGGGUUGUUGUAAAGAUUAAAGGAUUAAAUGAGCACCAGGCAGGUGCUGAGUAUUCGGUCAGAGUUGGCACCUUCUAUUGUUAUUGCUGUUGUUGUGUUACUGUUGUCAUUGUAUCCCUAGUACCCAGCCCAGUGCCAGGCACCCAGUAGAUGCUCCACAAACAUUUAUUGAAUAAAUAAAUGACUUCAGCUGGGUGCACAUUAAUGUUUUUCACACCCUUGACAUCAGCAAGGCUUUUUCCAAUAUUGAACACUGAACUCUGUUUCUGUUGUGUGACUUGAAUUCCCCAGGGAAGAUGAGUGAUUGGGAGCAGACUCUCAAUGUCCUCUGAAAAAUAACCUGCUGAAUGGAGAAAGCCAUGGUGACCUCCGUCUUUGGGGCCAGGUCAAGGAAGAAACAGGACUUAAAAAAAAUAUGGUGAUUAUGGUUUAGGGAGGCAGACCUUUAGAGUCAAGUAAGCACAAUCUGGGUAAAACAAAUGUCACUUAUUUACAUGUAAGGGGCAACAUUUCCAUCCAGCAGGAAAGUGUCCUCUUGCUCUUGAACAAGACAUUGUGCUUUCAAAAUUUUAUUCUUUUUCAUCCAGGGUCGAUGGCUGGAGGAAGAAAUGAGAGGAUCUCCAUACCGAGGCCUUGGCUUCUACGUCCUUUCUCGAAGUGUUUGGAGUGCAGAUUUCUGAUUCUGUGCCCAGCCUCCAGGGACACAGUACACAGUAUACUGGGAAUGAUGGUCCAGUCAAUAUCUGGCUCGUUGAACACUUGUAUAGAUCACCCUCAGUGAAUAGAGAUAUUUGGUUUCAAGAUGCCCAGCUCUGUGCCUGGAUUUCUGCCUUCUCACUUCUCACUGUGUUUGGCCAAUGGAGGAUACCAGCAGAUGAUCCCAGGAAGGAGGUGAGUGAGGAUGGGUACAUCUUCCCCUGCUUCUCUGCUUAUGGGAUCAUUGUAAGCUGGCUGACACCCUUGAUGGAAAACCAGAGCUCUUUCUGUCUCCAGAUUUCUUGUUCUUAGGGUCCUGCACCACCCCCUGGGGCUUCCCUAUGCUCUGCCCUCUCCUUUAUGAGUGGUGCAUCUACAAACGCUCCUCACUGACCCUAGGUGAGAACCUGACUUAGUGAGGCGGGAGUCUCCCAGAAUCUUUGUGCCACAGGAUUAAGACAUUAAGAGUGAUUCCAAUCUCUGUAUCAUGGGUGGGAAAGGGGCUUCCAAAAUAUUUUCAAGCACUGGAGGACCCCUUCCUGCAACCCUCAUUGGGCCAUAUGCCCAGGCAACUCCCAUCAGGAAGAAAGCAGGAGCCUCUUGGGGCCAUUUUUCCACCUCCCAGGUUAUAUCUUAAGGAGGUAAGGUUUGCAAGUUGCUGAGCACAAGGCCCACAGUGAAUACUCAUUGAAUGUUUUCUAUCAUUUUUAUUAUCACUAUGUUUGGAAUAUGGCAAUACUCCAUCUCUACCAAAAAAACUAAAUUAAUCAGUCAGAAGUGGGUGGCAUGGGCCUGUAGUGGAAGGUGCCACGUAUUUUCUGCUGGGACCCUGACUGGGACACAGAGCCCAGGACCUUUGACUGAUUGAGGAUCUUAGUUACAGGACUCAGCCUUGAGUCCCUGUGAGGAUCCUCUUUCUUCCAAAAGAUUCUCUACAAAGAGGUCACACCCACUGUGCCCCAGCGCCUGAAAUGGAAUGGAAAUUGCAUAGUUAAUAAGGUUACAUCUUUUUCAUUCCAUGAUGGUUCAGGGCCUUCAAAAAAACACAUUGAUUAUUUUUCUCCUUAUUCAUAUUUUCCUCUUUAUAGAUGUCAGUUUUCAGAAAAAGGAAUAUCCAGAGUCCUAAAACCUGAAAAUAAGGAUGCACUUUUUG